GACGUAGGGCGCGAGCGUUGUCCGGAUUUAUUGGGCGUAAAGAGCUCGUAGGUGGUUCGGUAAGUCGGGUGUGAAACCUCCAGGCUCAACCUGGAGACGCCACCCGAUACUGCUGUGACUGGAGUCCGGUAGGGGAGCGUGGAAUUCCUGGUGUAGCGGUGAAAUGCGCAGAUAUCAGGAGGAACACCAGCGGCGAAGGCGGCGCUCUGGGCCGGUACUGACACUGAGGAGCGAAAGCGUGGGUAGCAAACAGG
RNAcentral lists this ribosomal RNA (254 nucleotides) under uncultured bacterium. RNAcentral describes it as "partial 16S ribosomal RNA". It matches the Rfam family "Bacterial small subunit ribosomal RNA", at positions 524 to 776 of the family's 1533-position model. The record is from RNAcentral.